UGAUUUCAUCAAUGGCAGGAUUUUCCCUUGCAGCUAGGGCGUCUUCCAGUUUAACCUGUGAGAAACAUCCAGCACAAUCUAGUGGUGAGUGAGUAGGUGAGAGUGGGAUGACACACACACAUACACACAGUGAGGCAUCAUUCAUUUGCAUGCGACUAAAACAACAUUUUUCUGUGUGUAUGUGUGUGUGAGUUGUCAGAGCAGGCAGCGCAGAUAAAGCUGAUUCGGACCACGCCUGGCCUGGUUACAUACCACUCUAACUAGCGUGGAAGAGCUUCGUUCCACCCCUGCACUCGGCUGCUCCAGUUCAAAGGUGGUGCAGAGGUUGAUGAGGUUGACGAUGAUGACGAGGAGGAAGAUGAGAGAGAGAGCCGAAGUGAGAGUCAACCCUCCGCCCGCCACCCAGCUCUGCAGAUCCGCUACGAGGGGAGCCAUAGCUCCUGUGGGCGAGACGGAACAGAGUGAGAACUGACAAGAAGCAGAAAGGCGAAGCGAGGAACACAGAAAGCUGUAAAUGAACAACAGUAUUCAGGAUCUUCAUCACUCUGAAGAAGGAGAACUCAAACCUGUAACCAGUUCUCUCUGCUUCCUGACUCACUGCUGCCCCCUUCAGAUUAGAAAAGAAGCAACAUCAGCCCUACUGAAUCAUUACAACUGGCUCUUUACAUCAAAUGUGCAUGGCGGGUGAAAUCAGUUCCUGCCAUUCUAUUAUAUGUACAAAUUCAUGAACACAUGGGGUGAUAUGUGUAUAUGUUUUCUUUUAAACAAUAAUGUCUAAUAAUACAGUUGCAAUAAUACAGUCUAACAAUACUGUCUUAUGCCAUUGAGAGUUGAACAAAUGACAACUCUAUAACUAUAAUCAUAUACACAUAAAUCUGUGCAAUGGUAUGCAAAAUAAGUCCAGAUAUUGUGGUAAAAAGUAGCAAAUAUUGAAAAACUUGUGCAACAUCUUCAUGUGCUUUCUGGGGAUGCCUUGGUGUGGCUAUAUGGCCACCAUGGUCACAUAUGAUCAUGUAAACUAUUGCAUUCAGAGUAGCCUAAAGAGAGAGGGGGGAAAGGGCAUGAUGAUGCCAGUUGGGCAGAGAUAGAAGAUGGCACGGGGGUGACUAAAGGGGCAAAAACUGGGUCAUCUAGUUAAAAGUGUCAUAGCCUAGUCUAGGGUGCAGUCGUUUUGGUUUGAAUAUUGUUUACAUGACCACAUAAGAUCAUGUAUAAGCCCCCCAUGACACAAGACAGUAAUGAAUAAUAUCCUGUAGUAGUAAAGCACUACUCUAGUUCAACUUGAAAAGAGCACUGAUCAAAUGUGACAGGAGACGAAGGACAUAAUAAGGUGUUUUCACUAAACUGAGGUCUGUUAUUUAACCAUUUAGAAUACCAUUUUGCACUUUGUAACAAGUUAUUAUUUUGAACAACAAUGAGUGAUACUACUGUAGCAUAGCAUUUGUCUUGGUAUGGGGGUUGCAUUUUGAGUAUUGGGGGAAUCUAUAUGUCCCCCUCAAAGUAUAUUAUGAUUACACCCUUGGUCUUCGUAAUAUUAUAAAGCACACCAAUAUGCCAAUAUGUCUCAUCUAAAUUGUAACAGCGUUUAAUGUUA
Molecule: long non-coding RNA, 1594 nt
Organism: Alosa alosa (allis shad)
Lineage: Eukaryota; Metazoa; Chordata; Actinopteri; Clupeiformes; Clupeidae
Exons: 3
Source: RefSeq, a predicted model, not a curated record